AUGGGCGAAAGCCUGAUGCAGCGACGCCGCGUGAGGGAUGACGGCCUUCGGGUUGUAAACCUCUUUCAGCAGGGAAGAAGCGAGAGUGACGGUACCUGCAGAAGAAGCGCCGGCUAACUACGUGCCAGCAGCCGCGGUAAUACGUAGGGCGCAAGCGUUGUCCGGAAUUAUUGGGCGUAAAGAGCUCGUAGGCGGCUUGUCACGUCGGAUGUGAAAGCCCGGGGCUUAACCCCGGGUCUGCAUUCGAUACGGGCAGGCUAGAGUUCGGUAGGGGAGAUCGGAAUUCCUGGUGUAGCGGUGAAAUGCGCAGAUAUCAGGAGGAACACCGGUGGCGAAGGCGGAUCUCUGGGCCGAUACUGACGCUGAGGAGCGAAAGCGUGGGGAGCGAACAGGAUUAGAUACCCUGGUAGUCCACGCCGUAAACGUUGGGAACUAGGUGUGGGCGACAUUCCACGUCGUCCGUGCCGCAGCUAACGCAUUAAGUUCCCCGCCUGGGGAGUACGGCCGCAAGGCUAAAACUCAAAGGAAUUGACGGGGGCCCGCACAAGCAGCGGAGCAUGUGGCUUAAUUCGACGCAACGCGAAGAACCUUACCAAGGCUUGACAUACACCGGAAACGUCUGGAGACAGGCGCCCCCUUGUGGUCGGUGUACAGGUGGUGC
Molecule: ribosomal RNA, 661 nt
Filed under: Streptomyces glebosus
Lineage: Bacteria; Bacillati; Actinomycetota; Actinomycetes; Kitasatosporales; Streptomycetaceae
Description: bacterial SSU rRNA
Rfam family: Bacterial small subunit ribosomal RNA
Source: RNAcentral